RNAcentral lists this ribosomal RNA (253 nucleotides) under uncultured bacterium. RNAcentral's name for it is "partial 16S ribosomal RNA". It matches the Rfam family "Bacterial small subunit ribosomal RNA", at positions 524 to 776 of the family's 1533-position model. The record is from RNAcentral.
UACGAAGGGGGCUAGCGUUGCUCGGAAUCACUGGGCGUAAAGGGUGCGUAGGCGGGUCUUUAAGUCAAGGGUGAAAUCCUGGAGCUCAACUCCAGAACUGCCUUUGAUACUGAGGAUCUUGAGUACGGGAGAGGUGAGUGGAACUGCGAGUGUAGAGGUGAAAUUCGUAGAUAUUCGCAAGAACACCAGUGGCGAAGGCGGCUCACUGGCCCGGUACUGACGCUGAGGUGCGAAAGCGUGGGGAGCAAACGGG